This 836-nucleotide ribosomal RNA is filed under the name uncultured archaeon. Its description in RNAcentral is "bacterial SSU rRNA". It matches the Rfam family "Archaeal small subunit ribosomal RNA", at positions 73 to 895 of the family's 1478-position model. The record is from RNAcentral.
UGUGAGCGGCACACUGCUCAGUAACACGUAGCUAACCUACCCUUAGGACGUGGACAACCCCGAGAAAUUGGGGCUAAUCCGCGAUAGAUGUAUUGUCCUGGAAUGGUAUUACGUCUAAAGGUAUCCCAUACAUGUUUGGUAUAUGCCUAAGGAUGGGGCUGCGGCCGAUCAGGCUGUUGGUGAGGUAAUGGCUCACCAAACCUUUGACCGGUACGGGCCAUGAGAGUGGUAGCCCGGAGAUGGACACUGAGACAAGGGUCCAGGCCCUACGGGGCGCAGCAGGCACGAAACCUCCUCAAUGCACUUACGUGCGAAAAAACUACCUCGAGUGCCACCUGAUAAAAAUGGCUUUUCCUAAAUCUAAAAAGCCUUAAAAAUAAAAGGGAGGCAAGACUGGUGUCAACCACCACGGUAACACCAGCCCCUCGAGUAGUGGGGAUGAUUAUUGGGCCUAAAGCGUCCGUAGCCUGCCGUGUAAGUUUCCCGUUAAAUCCAGCGUCUUAAGCGUUGGACCGCGGGAAAUACUGUACGGCUAGAGAGUGGGAGAGGUCAGCGGUAUUCUGGGGGUAGGGGCGAAAUCCUUUGAUCCCCGGAGGACCACCAGUGGCGAAGGCUGCUGUCUAGAACACGUCUGACGGUCAGGGACGAAAGCUGGGGUAGCGAACCGGAUUAGAUACCCGGGUAGUCCCAGCCGUAAACGAUGCAUGCUAGGUGUUGGGUUGGCCACGAGCCACCCCAGUGCCGCAGGGAAGCCGUUAAGCAUGCCGCCUGGGAAGUACGAUCGCAAGGUUGAAACUUAAAGGAAUUGGCGGGGGAGCACCACCAGGCGUGAAGCC